CACAUGCAAGUCGAACGGCAGCGCGGGAGCAUCCUGGCGGCGAGUGGCGAACGGGUGAGUCAUACAUCGGAACGUGUCCUGUAGUGGGGGAUAGCCCGGCGAAAGCCGGAUUAAUACCGCAUACGAUCUACGGAUGAAAGCGGGGGAUCGCAAGACCUCGCGCUAUAGGGGCGGCCGAUGGCGGAUUAGCUAGUUGGUGGGGUAAAGGCCCACCAAGGCGACGAUCCGUAGCUGGUCUGAGAGGACGACCAGCCACACUGGGACUGAGACACGGCCCAGACUCCUACGGGAGGCAGCAGUGGGGAAUUUUGGACAAUGGGCGCAAGCCUGAUCCAGCAAUGCCGCGUGUGUGAAGAAGGCCUUCGGGUUGUAAAGCACUUUUGUCCGGAAAGAAAUCCUCUGGGUUAAUACCCCGGGGGGAUGACGGUACCGGAAGAAUAAGCACCGGCUAACUACGUGCCAGCAGCCGCGGUAAUACGUAGGGUGCGAGCGUUAAUCGGAAUUACUGGGCGUAAAGCGUGCGCAGGCGGUGAUGUAAGACCGAUGUGAAAUCCCCGGGCUUAACCUGGGAACUGCAUUGGUGACUGCAUCGCUGGAGUAUGGCAGAGGGGGGUAGAAUUCCACGUGUAGCAGUGAAAUGCGU
This 643-nucleotide ribosomal RNA is filed under the name Burkholderia sp. M1111. Its description in RNAcentral is "bacterial SSU rRNA". It matches the Rfam family "Bacterial small subunit ribosomal RNA", at positions 52 to 691 of the family's 1533-position model. Lineage: Bacteria; Pseudomonadati; Pseudomonadota; Betaproteobacteria; Burkholderiales; Burkholderiaceae. The record is from RNAcentral.